RNAcentral lists this ribosomal RNA (119 nucleotides) under Poecilia mexicana. The record is from RNAcentral. Lineage: Eukaryota; Metazoa; Chordata; Actinopteri; Cyprinodontiformes; Poeciliidae.
GCUUACGGCCAUACCACCCGGAACACGCCCGAUCUCGUCUGAUCUCGGAAGCUAAGCAGGGUCGGGCCUGGUCAGUACUUGGAUGGGAGACCGCCUGGGAAUACCAGGUGCUGUAAGCU